RNAcentral lists this ribosomal RNA (1332 nucleotides) under uncultured bacterium. RNAcentral describes it as "bacterial SSU rRNA". It matches the Rfam family "Bacterial small subunit ribosomal RNA". The record is from RNAcentral.
AGAGUUUGAUCAUGGCUCAGAACGUACGCUGGCGGCACGCCUAACACAUGCAAGUCGAACGAAGUAGCAAUACUUAGUGGCAGACGGGUGAGUAACAUGUAGGUAUCUGCCCUUUGGCCUGGAAUAACACGAGGAAACUUGUGCUAAUACCGGAUAAGUCUUUACGGAGAAAGCUUUAUGCACCAUUGGAUGAGCCUGCACUUGAUUAGUUUGUUGGUGGGGUAAUGGCCUACCAAGACUGUGAUCAAUAGCUGAUUUGAGAGGAUGAUCAGCCACAUUGGGACUGAGACACGGCCCAAACUCCUACGGGAGGCAGCAGUGGGGAAUCUUGCACAAUGGAGGAAACUCUGAUGCAGCGAUGCCGCGUGAGUGAAGAAGGCCCUUGGGUUGUAAAGCUCUUUCGUCGGGGAAGAAAAUGACUGUACCCGAAUAAGAAGGUCCGGCUAACUUCGUGCCAGCAGCCGCGGUAAUACGAAGGGACCUAGCGUAGUUCGGAAUUACUGGGCUUAAAGAGUUCGUAGGUGGUUGAAAAAGUUGGUGGUGAAAUCCCAGAGCUUAACUCUGGAACUGCCAUCAAAACUUUUCAGCUAGAGUAUGAUAGAGGAAAGCAGAAUUUCUAGUGUAGAGGUGAAAUUCGUAGAUAUUAGAAAGAAUACCAAUUGCGAAGGCAGCUUUCUGGAUCAUUACUGACACUGAGGAACGAAAGCAUGGGUAGCGAAGAGGAUUAGAUACCCUCGUAGUCCAUGCCGUAAACGAUGUGUGUUAGACGUUGGAAAUUUAUUUUCAGUGUCGCAGCGAAAGCGAUAAACACACCGCCUGGGGAGUACGACCGCAAGGUUAAAACUCAAAUGAAUUGACGGGGACCCGCACAAGUAGUGGAGCAUGUGGUUUAAUUCGAAGAUACGCGCAGAACCUUACCAACACUUGACAUGUUCGUCGCGACUUUAAGAGAUUAAAGUUUUCGGUUCGGCCGGACGAAACACAGGUGCUGCAUGGCUGUCGUCAGCUCGUGUCGUGAGAUGUUGGGUUAAGUCCCGCAACGAGCGCAACCCUCACUUUUAGUUGCCAUCAUUAAGUUGGGCACUCUGAAAGAACUGCCAGUGAUAAGCUGGAGGAAGGUGGGGAUGACGUCAAGUCCUCAUGGCCCUUACGUGUUGGGCUACACACGUGCUACAAUGGUAUCUACAACAGGAAGCAAGACUGCGAAGUUAAGCAAAUCCUUAAAAGAUACCUCAGUUCGGAUUGCACUCUGCAACUCGAGUGCAUGAAGCUGGAAUUACUAGUAAUCGUGGAUCAGCGUGCCACGGUGAAUGCGUUCCCGGGUCUUGUAGA